Molecule: ribosomal RNA, 484 nt
Filed under: uncultured bacterium
Lineage: Bacteria
Description: partial 16S ribosomal RNA
Rfam family: Bacterial small subunit ribosomal RNA
Source: RNAcentral
AUUGAACGCUGGCGGCAGGCCUAACACAUGCAAGUCGAGCGGAUGAAGGGAGCUUGCUCCUGGAGUCAGCGGCGGACGGGUGAGUAAUGCCUAGGAAUCUGCCUGGUAGUGGGGGAUAACGUCCGGAAACGGGCGCUAAUACCGCAUACGUCCUGAGGGAGAAAGUGGGGGAUCUUCGGACCUCACGCUAUCAUAUGAGCCUAGGUCGGAUUAGCUAGUUGGUGGGGUAAAGGCCUACCAAGGCGACGAUCCGUAACUGGUCUGAGAGGAUGAUCAGUCACACUGGAACUGAGACACGGUCCAGAAUCCUACGGGAGGCAGCAGUGGGGAAUAUUGGACCAUGGGGGAAAGCCUGAUCCAGCCAUGCCGCGUGUGUGAAGAAGGUCUUCGGAUUGUAAAGCACUUUAAGUUGGGAGGAAGGGCAGUAAGUUAAUACCUUGCUGUUUUGACGUUACCAGCAGAAUAAGCACCGGCUAACUUCGUG